GAGAAGCGUCGUGUAAGUUAGCGGAAAUAUUACUAGCGGUGGACUUUCCAUGGUGGUGAGUCUCACAGUCACCGUUUCACAUUAGGUGAAAGCCGUGUCCCGAGCCUCUCCCUUCCUCUGGAUGCUGACACAGACUUCUCUCAGAGUACAGCCUCGAAGCUCCAGCUGCAAACACCUGUUCCGGUGACAUGAAGAGAGAGAGAGAGAGAGACUCUACGUCACAGUCUAAUCUGCUCAUUUGAACCCUGAACCCUGUUUGCCGUGUUUUACCUGACAGUCCAGCCAUCUGGAUUCAAGCUGCCACAAAGCUGAGAGAACUGACUGGCCAGCUGGUGUCCAUGAUCCAAAACCUUCGGAUGCACACUGUCAACUAGACUGGCGUCUGUAGUCUUGAGCUCCAGAGAGACACUGAUCCCGUCAGAUGGCUUAUAGAUGAGGCUCACCAGGAUCUUGGGCGGCAGGGGAACGUGGAGGGAGAAGAUCCUGAGAGACAAAGGAAACAUGGAGACUGCAU
Long non-coding RNA from Solea solea (common sole), 514 nucleotides. RefSeq lists it as uncharacterized. The record is from RefSeq and is a predicted model, not a curated record. The transcript is spliced from 3 exons. Lineage: Eukaryota; Metazoa; Chordata; Actinopteri; Pleuronectiformes; Soleidae.